Molecule: ribosomal RNA, 460 nt
Filed under: uncultured bacterium
Lineage: Bacteria
Description: partial 16S ribosomal RNA
Rfam family: Bacterial small subunit ribosomal RNA
Source: RNAcentral
CCUACGGGGGGCAGCAGUGAGGAAUAUUGGUCAAUGGGCGCGAGCCUGAACCAGCCAAGUAGCGUGAAGGAUGACUGCCCUACGGGUUGUAAACUUCUUUUAUCAAGGAAUAAAGUGAGGCACGUGAGCCUUUUUGUAUGUACUUUAUGAAUAAGCAUCGGCUAACUCCGUGCCAGCAGCCGCGGUAAUACGGAGGAUCCGAGCGUUAUCCGGAUUUAUUGGGUUUAAAGGGUGCGUAGGGGGGUUGUUAAGUCAGUUGUGAAAGGUUGCGGCUCAACCGUAAAAUUGCAAUUGAUACUGGCAGUCUUGAGUACAGUUGAGGUAGGCGGAAUUCGUGGUGUAGCGGUGAAAUGCUUAGAUAUUACGAAGAACUCCGAUUGCGAAGGCAGCUUACUAAACGGCCACUGACAUUGAUGCUCGAAAGUGUGGGUAUCAAACAGGAUUAGAUACCCCGGUAGUC